AUAUAUAUAUAUAUACACACAUAUAUAUAUAUAUAUAUGAAAUACUUGACUUUCAGUGAAUUCUAGCUAUAUAUAUUUAUCUUAUUAUAUAUACAAAUAAAAGAAAUAGUUGAAUUUCCGACGGCACCUAUCAAAUACACAGUAAUAAAAACACAGUUGUUCUAUUAACUGUACUGUGUUUGCUGGUUACUAAAAAAACAACAACACUUACCUUUCACUAUUUGAGUAACCUUUGUUCUGCCAUUUGCGUAUUGGCGAGCGAUCUCCGAAUCCGGGAACAUAUAUCACGGAUUUGUUGUAGACCUCUGCAAAUGAGAACGGGAUGUUGCUUCCAGCUAUCAGCAUGGCCAUCUUUGUCUCAGCAUAAGUUACACCAUCCGGUCUCCUUUUUGCGAGGUGCCCCAUAUAAUACUGGGUUGUGAACGACGCUGCGCUGCGGACGCUUUGUGCUUCGCUGACCGUUCAUGGCUGAGUAUAUCCGUUCGGCCGCCGUGUUCAAUGGAGAAGUCUGUUCUACAAAAUUUACAGGCAACAUACCCCUUCCCCUUUGAACUCUCCUGGAUAAACUGAGAUUCUUGUUUCCAAUCGUUGUGGAACUUGCAAGCGUAUUUCUUCAUUUUGCUCGUCGACGGUGUAAUAUAGUGGGUUGGAGUCAAUAACCAGGCGACAUGAUGAAGUUACGUCUUUCAUUGUCACUGACGUCCCACUGGGUCAUUAUUGUCACCAAUGUCCCACUGGGUGUGAGUUUUCCUUGCCCUUAUGUGGGCCUACCGAGGAUGUCGUGGUGGUUUGUGCAGCCCUUUGAGACACUAGUGAUUUAGGGCUAUAUAAGUAAACAUUGAUUGAUUGAUUGAUACUGUGGGCUUCAGAACAGACUCCCUAAUGCAUGUUCCUUGACUGCACUUAAAUGUAGAAUAUAUUUACAUUCUAUUCUUUUCUAUGUACAGUAGAUGGCAAUAUUGUCCUCUUUAAAAGGGUCACAGCAUUGCUGAGUCAGGUUCUCAUGGAGCUGGAGGUUGCGUGGCCUCCAGUUCCGCCUGAAUUUCAGGAGAUUUUCGGGAGAAAAUUUGUCCCGGGAGGUUUUCGGGAGAGGCGCUGAAUUAUCGGGAGUCACCCGGAAAAUCCGGGAGGGUUGGCAAGUAUGAAUUAUAGGGCUGUAGUCCAUUGCAAAUGUUUAUUGUUUUGCUCGUAUCUGCUUUUUGCAGGAAGAUCUAACCCCCUUGCGUACUCCUGAUAGUUUUCACGCUGCUUGCUGCACAACAGCCAUCUUGGCUUGGUUGACCACCACUGCUUUUCAUUUCCGAUGGCGUCGCCCGGCGUGGAGGGGCUCUUGGUAAAGAUGGAACAUUUGGCAAAAAUACCGGACAAUUCUGCAAAUGUCAUGGCUGGCUUACAGCGUGGUCACUCCGGGAUCACUUACGACCGCCAGACAAUUCUGGAUGUGGAUAGAUCGGGCUGUUUUGGACUGAAUGAGGCGUGCAUGCUAGACCGGCUAGCUAGCAUGGGAAUACUUUGCCGGCUACAUCCAGCGGCCUGUGAAGCAGCGGAGUAUAUGUGUUGUCUGUCUAUUUCAAUCAAUCAAUCAAUCAAUCAAUGUUUACUUAUAUAGCCCUAAAUCACUAGUGUCUCAAAGGGCUGCACAAACCACUACGACAUCCUCGGUAGGCCCACAUAAGGGCAAGGAAAACUCACACCCAGUGGGACGUCGGUGACAAUAAUGACUAUGAGAACCUUGGAGACGAGGAAAGCAAUGGAUGUCGAGCGGGUCUAACAUGAUACUGUGAAAGUUCGAUCCAUAAUGGAUCCAACACAGUCGCGAGAGUCCAGUCCAAAGCGGAUCCAAAUAAUGCAGACCAGGAGUGUUGGCUGAGUUCUUAACGUUUGCUUUCAGAGCGUGCAUAUCACAACAUACAAGAUGCCGUCAUGGCGACACAACCUAUACCGGGCUACCGCGCAUGCUCCUCACUCCUGUUGCAUGCUGGGUAGGGUAGUUCUUUUAUUCCCUGGCUCAUAACAUCACAAUAUAGUACCAUGUAUAUGAUGCCUUCAGUUUAUCAAAGCACCAAGCAAACAAUCGGAAAAUUCCCAUCAUAUCAAUUCCUAGAUAUGGUCAUAAUUAUUUGAAGUGCACUACGCAGAAUAAACACAACAUUAUUAAUAUUGCUACUACGGAUAAUUUGAUCAAAAAUUCCCUAAAACAGCCCACUACCUAUAAUAUAGUUUUUUUAAACAUAAGACCCUGAUAAAAAAAAUGUUUCUGCUGUUACCUCAGAAAUUGCCUGUUCAGAUGUUAUGAUUGUGGCUCAGAGAUUUGUAUGUAGAUUAUAUUUAUUUUCCAUAACAAACAGGAUAACUUAAAUACCCUGGCAGUGGCAAUAAGCUUAAAUGUUUGUAUUGACAUUUUUGGAGUUGAUUUUCAUCAAAUAUGCUGUUUAACUGCUACUGUUUAACAAGGACUGAUUUAAAUUGUGUUUGCACAACAAAUGUUUUGGCGCUUUUGUUCAUGUGGGAGAAUAUUCCAAUAAAGGUGCACUACACACUA
Nerophis ophidion (straightnose pipefish) is the source of this 2542-nucleotide long non-coding RNA. RefSeq lists it as uncharacterized. NCBI's taxonomy places the organism in Eukaryota, Metazoa, Chordata, Actinopteri, Syngnathiformes, Syngnathidae. The transcript is spliced from 2 exons. The record is from RefSeq and is a predicted model, not a curated record.